RNAcentral lists this ribosomal RNA (819 nucleotides) under uncultured bacterium. Its description in RNAcentral is "bacterial SSU rRNA". It matches the Rfam family "Bacterial small subunit ribosomal RNA", at positions 8 to 839 of the family's 1533-position model. The record is from RNAcentral.
AGAGUUUGUCCUGGCUCAGAGUGAACGCUGGCGGCGUGCCUAACACAUGCAAGUCGAACGUGAACGGACUUAAGUUUACUUAAGUUGUCAGCUAAGUGGCGCACGGGUGAGUAAUAUAUAGUUAACCUGCCUCAAAGAAGAGAAUAAUUGUUGGAAACGACUUGUAAUGCUCUAUAUGCCUUUAUCACAUAAGUGAGCAAGGGAAAUAUUUAUAGCUUUGAGAUGGGACUGUACGGUAUCAGAUAGUUGGUGAGGUAAUGGCUCACCAAGUCUAUGACGCCUAACUGGUUUGAGAGGAUGAUCAGUCACACUGGAACUGAGACACGGUCCAGACUCCUACGGGAGGCAGCAGUGGGGAAUAUUGCACAAUGGAGGAAACUCUGAUGCAGCAACGCCGCGUGGAGGAUGACACAUUUCGGUGCGUAAACUCCUUUUAUUAGGGAAGAUAAUGACGGUACCUAAUGAAUAAGCACCGGCUAACUCCGUGCCAGCAGCCGCGGUAAUACGGGGGGUGCAAGCGUUACUCGGAAUCACUGGGCGUAAAGAGCAUGUAGGCUGAUUAGUAAGUUGGAAGUGAAAUCCUAUGGCUCAACCAUAGAACUGCUUCCAAAACUGCUUAUCUAGAGUAUGGGAGAGGUAGAUGGAAUUUCUGGUGUAGGGGUAAAAUCCGUAGAGAUCAGAAGGAAUACCGAUUGCGAAGGCGAUCUACUGGAACAUUACUGACGCUGAGAUGCGAAAGCGUGGGGAGCAAACAGGAUUAGAUACCCUGGUAGUCCACGCCCUAAACGAUGCACACUAGUUGUUGCUAUGCUAGACAUA